RNAcentral lists this ribosomal RNA (579 nucleotides) under Nesterenkonia sp. I14A-00910. RNAcentral describes it as "bacterial SSU rRNA". It matches the Rfam family "Bacterial small subunit ribosomal RNA", at positions 95 to 687 of the family's 1533-position model. RNAcentral also lists the same sequence under 1 other name. Lineage: Bacteria; Bacillati; Actinomycetota; Actinomycetes; Micrococcales; Micrococcaceae. The record is from RNAcentral.
GUGGCGAACGGGUGAGUAUCACGUGAGUAACCUUCCCUUGACUCUGGGAUAAGCCCGGGAAACUGGGUCUAAUACCGGAUACGACCAGUCCUCGCAUGGGGUGCUGGUGGAAAGAUUUAUCGGUCUUGGAUGGACUCGCGGCCUAUCAGCUUGUUGGUGAGGUAAUGGCUCACCAAGGCGAUGACGGGUAGCCGGCCUGAGAGGGUGACCGGCCACACUGGGACUGAGACACGGCCCAGACUCCUACGGGAGGCAGCAGUGGGGAAUAUUGCACAAUGGGCGAAAGCCUGAUGCAGCGACGCCGCGUGCGGGAUGACGGCCUUCGGGUUGUAAACCGCUUUCAGCAGGGAAGAAGCGAAAGUGACGGUACCUGCAGAAGAAGCGCCGGCUAACUACGUGCCAGCAGCCGCGGUAAUACGUAGGGCGCGAGCGUUAUCCGGAAUUAUUGGGCGUAAAGAGCUCGUAGGCGGUUUGUCACGUCUGCUGUGAAAGCCCGAGGCUCAACCUCGGGUGUGCAGUGGGUACGGGCAGACUAGAGUGCAGUAGGGGAGACUGGAAUUCCUGGUGUAGCGGUGAAAU